AGCGUCAACCCUUUGUCCUUUUAAAUUGCCAGCAUUCAUUGGGCACUUUUAAAGAGACUGCCGGUGUUUAAGCCGGAGGAAGUGGGAUGACGUCAAGUCCUCAUGGCCUUUAUGCCCAGGGCUACACACGUGCUACAAUGGGUGGUACAAAGAGAUGCCAACUCGCGAGAGCGCGCCAAUCUCAGAAAGCCCAUCCUCAGUUCGGAUUGGAGUCUGCAACUCGACUCCAUGAAGUUGGAAUCGCUAGUAAUCGCGGAUCAGCACGCCGCGGUGAAUACGUUCCCGGGCCUU
Molecule: ribosomal RNA, 291 nt
Filed under: uncultured Smithella sp.
Lineage: Bacteria; Pseudomonadati; Thermodesulfobacteriota; Syntrophia; Syntrophales; Smithellaceae
Description: partial 16S ribosomal RNA
Rfam family: Bacterial small subunit ribosomal RNA
Source: RNAcentral